Molecule: ribosomal RNA, 253 nt
Filed under: uncultured bacterium
Lineage: Bacteria
Description: partial 16S ribosomal RNA
Rfam family: Bacterial small subunit ribosomal RNA
Source: RNAcentral
UACGUAGGUGGCAAGCGUUGUCCGGAUUUAUUGGGUUUAAAGGGUGCGUAGGCGGCUUUGUAAGUCAGUGGUGAAAUAUGGCAGCUCAACUGUCAGGGUGCCAUUGAUACUGCAGAGCUUGAGUACAGAUGAGGUAGGCGGAAUUGACGGUGUAGCGGUGAAAUGCAUAGAUAUCGUCCAGAACACCGAUAGUGAAGACAGCUUACCAGAGUGCAACUGACGCUGAGGCACGAAAGCGUGGGGAGCGAACGGG